UAAGGACAGUCCAAUAAAUGGUCACUAUACAACACAUGUUGGAAAUUGAGGUGGCCCUAAUACCCACCACUCUGAGAACCUACACCUAGAACACCAACUUACUCUGGAGUCAGUCAGCCUUUUUAAUUUCUAGUUACUUAGUGCGAUGGGUCCUUUUGAUGGCAGAGCCGCCUUCUCACUUCUGGAUGGCAGAGCCUUGAAGCUGACUUUUGGGUGGCAGAGUCAACCUACGAUGAAGUUUAGACCCUUAUGAUCUCCGGUGACAAAGCUAACCUUCGAUGGAUCACAACUUAUGCACUAGGUACAUAGAAACUAUAUGGCCCAACCGGGAGACUAACACUUGUAAGAAACUGAACUUUAUUAUAACACAACAAUAUUACAUAAGAGUGU
Molecule: long non-coding RNA, 390 nt
Filed under: Setaria viridis
Lineage: Eukaryota; Viridiplantae; Streptophyta; Magnoliopsida; Poales; Poaceae
Description: long non-coding RNA (SVIR_LNC008655)
Source: RNAcentral